Molecule: long non-coding RNA, 1341 nt
Organism: Salvia splendens (bonfire salvia)
Lineage: Eukaryota; Viridiplantae; Streptophyta; Magnoliopsida; Lamiales; Lamiaceae
Exons: 2
Source: RefSeq, a predicted model, not a curated record
CAAUAAUAAAAAUUCUAAAAAUAAAUAAAUAUCUAAUACAUAAAAUUAAUCCAAAACAAGUUUGACAAAAAGAAUAAUACAGUUUGCUAAAGCGGUGGAAACUGAAUUCUACGUGUUUUCAUCGAUUGAAAACGCUGCAGGAUCGGCUCGUUAUCAAUCGUUGAAAAAAUAUCCUUCUCAAUGUACACAACUAGACUGUCAUUCAUCCACUCGUCUCCCAUUCGAUUUCGUACAUCAGUCUUGAUAGUAUUCAUUGCAGAAAAUGCUAUCUCAACAGAAGCAGUAGCAACAGGUAAAACCAAGACCAACUCAAUAAUCCGAUAGACCAAUGGAAAAACUAAAUGCUUCUUAGUUUUGACCAUUUUCAUAGCAAAACUUCCCAAAUCACUAAGCGCAACAAAUUGAGGAUCACACCGCACAUUAGCAAUAAAAUUACUAACUUGCCGUGGAAGAUGUAAACAUUCGCUCGCAAAGAAGUCCUCGGGAUAUAAAGUAGCAAUAUGAAUGACUUGAUGCUCAUUGAAUUCAGAGAAAGAAUUUCUUGGAUCAAGACACGCUAUGCAUUUUAGCAAGUCGGUGCUUGUAAGAACCCAGAAAAAAAAAUUUAAAAAAAAUCAAAUUUAUCUAACUUGGUCACCAAGUCAGUAAAUCAUUUAAUUAAAGAUUCUCACAUAUUUUCUUUCCCUCAACCCACGUUGGAAAACCGUUCACACUCCCCAAAUCUCUCUCACAUCCAAACCACCCAUCCCUCUAUUUUAAAUCUCCAAAUUCAGUUUAUUUUCCUAUUCUACUCGUUCAAGAAAACCAAGACCUCUUCUUCACAACUUCAAUUCAAGAAAUCGAGAACCAAAUUCGUGAGAAGAGAGAGAGAGCUACCGGUUGUCUUUCAAAAUCUGCCCAAGGGCUGUUCGGGUUAGUUUCGGGACGAAUCGGGGGCUGCGGUGAUGUUUCGGGGCUGCACGACCAUCGACGGAGCAGCGGCGAACAGCAGCCGACGGCUCUGUGCAGACGGAGCAGCGGCGAACUGCAGCGACGACUCUGUGCAGCGGCGACAGCAGCGUCCUCCCGGCGAGACAGCAGCAGCUCUUCCGGCGGAUUGGCGGCGGUGGCUGGACGCUGAAGACGACCGACGGCUCUGGCGGAAUUGGAGACGGCGACGGAGAUCCUGGAACUGCCCGUUUUGGGCGAAGAGAAUUAGACAGAUAGAGAGGGAUGAAGUUUGGGGCGUGAAGGAGGGAGGAGUUUAAGUGGGCCAUUUGUUUUUUUUUUUUUUUUCAGAUUUGGGCAUUUGUUAUUUUAAAAGGAUUUGGGCCUUAUAAUUAAAUUGGAGGAUUUAUUUAA